Molecule: ribosomal RNA, 253 nt
Filed under: uncultured bacterium
Lineage: Bacteria
Description: partial 16S ribosomal RNA
Rfam family: Bacterial small subunit ribosomal RNA
Source: RNAcentral
UACGGAGGGGGCUAGCGUUGUCCGAAGUUACUGGGCGUAAAGCGCACGUAGGCGGCUUUGUAAGUUAGAGGUGAAAGCCCGGGGCUCAACUCCAGAAUUGCCUUUAAGACUGCAUCGCUUGAAUCAUGGAGAGGCGAGUGGAAUUCCGAGUGUAGAGGUGAAAUUCGUAGAUAUUCGGAAGAACACCAGUGGCGAAGGCGGCUCGCUGGACAUGUAUUGACGCUGAGGUGCGAAAGCGUGGGGAGCAAACAGG